RNAcentral lists this ribosomal RNA (397 nucleotides) under uncultured bacterium. Its description in RNAcentral is "partial 16S ribosomal RNA". It matches the Rfam family "Bacterial small subunit ribosomal RNA", at positions 523 to 918 of the family's 1533-position model. The record is from RNAcentral.
AUACGUAGGUGACAAGCGUUAUCCGGAUUUACUGGGCGUAAAGGGCGUGUAGGCGGUCUUGCAAGUCGGAAGUGAAAUUCCUGAGCUCAACUCGGGCGCUGCUUCUGAAACUGCAGGACUUGAGUGCUGGAGGGGAUAGCGGAAUUCCUAGUGGAGCGGUAAAAUGCGCAGAUAUUAGGAAGAACACCGGUGGCGAAGGCGGCUAGCUGGACAGUAACUGACGCUGAGGCGCGAAAGCGUGGGGAGCAAACAGGAUUAGAUACCCUGGUAGUCCACGCCGUAAACGAUGAGUGCUAAGUGUUGGAGGGUUUCCGCCCUUCAGUGCUGCAGCUAACGCAUUAAGCACUCCGCCUGGGGAGUACGGCCGCAAGGCUGAAACUCAAAUGAAUUGGCGGGG